This 254-nucleotide ribosomal RNA is filed under the name uncultured bacterium. RNAcentral's name for it is "partial 16S ribosomal RNA". It matches the Rfam family "Bacterial small subunit ribosomal RNA", at positions 524 to 777 of the family's 1533-position model. The record is from RNAcentral.
UACGUAGGGGGCCAGCGUUGUCCGGAUUUACUGGGCGUAAAGAGCGCGCAGGCGGUCGUUCAAGUCGAGUGUGAAAGCCCCCGGCUCAACUGGGGAGGGUCAUUCGAUACUGAUCGACUCGAAGGCAGGAGAGGGAAGUGGAAUUCCCGGUGUAGUGGUGAAAUGCGUAGAUAUCGGGAGGAACACCAGUGGCGAAGGCGACUUCCUGGCCUGUUCUUGACGCUGAGGCGCGAAAGCUAGGGGAGCAAACGGGG